AUUGAACGCUGGCGGCAUGCCUUACACAUGCAAGUCGAACGGCAGCGGGGGAGAAGCUUGCUUUUCCUGCCGGCGAGUGGCGAACGGGUGAGUAAUACAUCGGAACGUGCCCUGUAGUGGGGGAUAACUAGUCAAAAGAUUAGCUAAUACCGCAUACGGCCUGAGGGUGAAAGUGGGGGACCGCAAGGCCUCAUGCUAUAGGAGCGGCCGAUGUCUGAUUAGCUAGUUGGUGGGGUAAAGGCCUACCAAGGCGACGAUCAGUAGCUGGUCUGAGAGGACGAUCAGCCACACUGGGACUGAGACACGGCCCAGACUCCUACGGGAGGCAGCAGUGGGGAAUUUUGGACAAUGGGCGAAAGCCUGAUCCAGCAAUGCCGCGUGUGUGAAGAAGGCCUUCGGGUUGUAAAGCACUUUUGUCCGGAAAGAAAUGGCUCUGGUUAAUACCUGGGGUCGAUGACGGUACCGGAAGAAUAAGGACCGGCUAACUACGUGCCAGCCGCCGCGGUAA
Molecule: ribosomal RNA, 508 nt
Filed under: uncultured bacterium
Lineage: Bacteria
Description: partial 16S ribosomal RNA
Rfam family: Bacterial small subunit ribosomal RNA
Source: RNAcentral